UACAGAGGUCCCAAGCGUUGUUCGGAUUCACUGGGCGUAAAGGGUGCGUAGGCGGUAGGGUAAGUCUGACGUGAAAUGCCGGAGCUCAACUCCGGAACUGCGUCGGAAACUACUUUACUAGAGGAUUGGAAGGGGGACUGGAAUUCUCGGUGUAGCAGUGAAAUGCGUAGAUAUCGAGAGGAACACCCGUGGCGAAGGCGAGUCCCUGGACAAUUCCUGACGCUGAGGCACGAAAGCUAGGGGAGCAAACAGG
This 253-nucleotide ribosomal RNA is filed under the name uncultured bacterium. RNAcentral describes it as "partial 16S ribosomal RNA". It matches the Rfam family "Bacterial small subunit ribosomal RNA", at positions 524 to 776 of the family's 1533-position model. The record is from RNAcentral.